ACACGGCCCUGGGGGAGUUCGAUAGAACUGAGAUCCGUAUGCUGCCGAAGAUGUCUUCGCACAGCGGGAACCCUUUGCACCUGAACCGGGUAAUUCCGGCGUAGGAAAGCGGCUUGCAGGAUGU
Molecule: non-coding RNA, 124 nt
Filed under: Geobacteraceae bacterium
Lineage: Bacteria; Pseudomonadati; Thermodesulfobacteriota; Desulfuromonadia; Geobacterales; Geobacteraceae
Description: TPP sequence
Rfam family: TPP riboswitch aptamer (THI element)
About the family: Vitamin B(1) in its active form thiamin pyrophosphate (TPP) is an essential coenzyme that is synthesised by coupling of pyrimidine and thiazole moieties in bacteria.
Source: RNAcentral